UACAGAGGGUGCAAGCGUUAAUCGGAGUUACUGGGCGUAAAGCGUGCGUAGACGGUUACAUAAGUCGGAUGUGAAAGCCCCGGGCUCAACCUGGGAAUGGCAUUCGAGACUGCGUAGCUAGGGUGCGGAAGAGGGAAGCGGAAUUUCCGGUGUAGCGGUGAAAUGCGUAGAUAUCGGGAGGAACACCAGUGGCGAAGGCGGCUACCUGGCACACAACUGACGCUGAGACGCGAAAGCGUGGGGAGCGAACCGG
This 253-nucleotide ribosomal RNA is filed under the name uncultured prokaryote. RNAcentral describes it as "partial 16S ribosomal RNA". It matches the Rfam family "Bacterial small subunit ribosomal RNA", at positions 524 to 776 of the family's 1533-position model. The record is from RNAcentral.